Molecule: ribosomal RNA, 2909 nt
Filed under: Mesorhizobium sp. L2C084A000
Lineage: Bacteria; Pseudomonadati; Pseudomonadota; Alphaproteobacteria; Hyphomicrobiales; Phyllobacteriaceae
Description: bacterial LSU rRNA
Rfam family: Bacterial large subunit ribosomal RNA
Source: RNAcentral
GAUCAAGUGUCUUAAGGGCAAUUGGUGGAUGCCUUGGCAUGCACAGGCGAUGAAGGACGUGAUACGCUGCGAUAAGCUACGGGGAGGUGCGAAUACCCUUUGAUCCGUAGAUUUCCGAAUGGGGAAACCCACCUAAGGUACUUGGAAAAUCAGAGCAGCCAGAAGGUCGCAAGGCUGACUUGCUGCUGUGGUUUCCAAGUAUCGAUAAUAGGUAACUUACCCUGAAUACAUAGGGGUAAAGUGGCGAACGCGGGGAACUGAAACAUCUAAGUACCCGUAGGAAAGGACAUCAACCGAGACUCCGGAAGUAGUGGCGAGCGAACCCGGACCAGGCCAGUGGCGAUUGAGAGACAAGCGGAACCUUCUGGAAAGUAGGGCCAUAGUGGGUGACAGCCCCGUACGCGUAAUGCAAUCAAUCGUCCUCGAGUAAGGCGGGACACGUGAAAUCCUGUCUGAAAUUGGGGGGACCACCCUCCAAGCCUAAGUACUCGUGCAUGACCGAUAGCGAACUAGUACCGUGAGGGAAAGGUGAAAAGCACCCCGACAAGGGGAGUGAAAGAGUACCUGAAACCGAUUGCCUACAAACAGUGGAAGCCCAAGGUUCGUCCUGGGUGACCACGUACCUUUUGUAUAAUGGGUCAGCGACUUAGUGUGACGAGCAAGCUUAAACCGCUAGGUGUAGGCGCAGCGAAAGCGAGUCUGAAUAGGGCGUUCAGUUCGUCGCAUUAGACCCGAAACCGAGUGAUCUAGCCAUGAGCAGGUUGAAGGUAAGGUAACACUUACUGGAGGACCGAACCCAUAACUGUUGCAAUAGUUCGGGAUGACUUGUGGCUAGGGGUGAAAGGCCAAUCAAACUCGGAAAUAGCUGGUUCUCCGCGAAAUCUAUUUAGGUAGAGCGUCGACCGAAUACCCCAGGGGGUAGAGCACUGGAUGGGCUAGGGGUCCUCACCGGAUUACCAAACCUAACCAAACUCCGAAUACCUGGGAGUACUAGUCGGCAGACACACGGCGGGUGCUAACGUCCGUCGUGAAAAGGGAAACAACCCUGACCUACAGCUAAGGUCCCCAAGUUAUGGCUAAGUGGGAAAGGAUGUGAGGAUCCCAAAACAACCAGGAUGUUGGCUUAGAAGCAGCCAUCAUUUAAAGAAAGCGUAACAGCUCACUGGUCUAAAUAAGGGUCUUUGCGCCGAAAAUGUAACGGGGCUAAAGCCAUACACCGAAGCUUAGGGUUUGGUCCGCAAGGGCCAAGCGGUAGCGGAGCGUUCUGUAAGCUGAUGAAGCCAUACCCGUGAGGGGUGGUGGAGGUAUCAGAAGUGCGAAUGCUGACAUGAGUAACGUAAGGGGAGUGAGAGACUNGAAGCCAUACCCGUGAGGGGUGGUGGAGGUAUCAGAAGUGCGAAUGCUGACAUGAGUAACGUAAGGGGAGUGAGAGACUCCCCCGCCGAAAGACCAAGGGUUCCUGCUUAAAGCUAAUCUGAGCAGGGUUAGCCGGCCCCUAAGACGAGGCGGAAACGCGUAGUCGAUGGGAACCACGUUAAUAUUCGUGGGCUUGGAGGUAGUGACGGAUCAUUGAGGUAGUCCAAUCUUAUCGGAUUGAACGGGCUGCUGCGUGGUUCCAGGAAAUAGCUCCUCCUUAUAAACCGUACCCGAAACCGACACUGGUGGUCUGGUAGAGUAUACCAAGGCGCUUGAGAGAACUAUGCUGAAGGAACUCGGCAAAUUGCACGCGUAACUUCGGAAGAAGCGUGACCCUUUUCUACGCAAGUAGAGGAGGGUGGCACAGACCAGGGGGUAGCGACUGUUUAUCAAAAACACAGGGCUCUGCGAAGUCGCAAGACGACGUAUAGGGUCUGACGCCUGCCCGGUGCUGGAAGGUUAAGAGGAGGGGUGCAAGCUCUGAAUCGAAGCCCCAGUAAACGGCGGCCGUAACUAUAACGGUCCUAAGGUAGCGAAAUUCCUUGUCGGGUAAGUUCCGACCUGCACGAAUGGCGUAACGACUUCCCCGCUGUCUCCAGCAUAGACUCAGUGAAAUUGAAUUCCCCGUGAAGAUGCGGGGUUCCUGCGGUUAGACGGAAAGACCCCGUGCACCUUUACUAUAGCUUUACAUUGGCAUUCGUAGUGGCAUGUGUAGGAUAGGUGGUAGGCUUUGAAACCUGGGCGCCAGCUCAGGUGGAGCCACCCUUGAAAUACCACCCUUAUUACUAUGGAUGUCUAACCGCGGCCCGUUAUCCGGGUCCGGGACAAUGUAUGGUGGGUAGUUUGACUGGGGCGGUCGCCUCCUAAAGAGUAACGGAGGCGCGCGAUGGUGGGCUCAGAACGGUCGGAAAUCGUUCGCUGAGUGCAAUGGCAUAAGCCUGCCUGACUGCGAGACUGACAAGUCGAGCAGAGACGAAAGUCGGUCAUAGUGAUCCGGUGGUCCCGCGUGGAAGGGCCAUCGCUCAACGGAUAAAAGGUACGCCGGGGAUAACAGGCUGAUGACCCCCAAGAGUCCAUAUCGACGGGGUUGUUUGGCACCUCGAUGUCGACUCAUCGCAUCCUGGGGCUGGAGCAGGUCCCAAGGGUAUGGCUGUUCGCCAUUUAAAGCGGUACGUGAGUUGGGUUCAGAACGUCGUGAGACAGUUCGGUCCCUAUCUGCCGUGGGUGUAGGAAUAUUGAAAGGAUCUGUCCCUAGUACGAGAGGACCGGGAUGGACGGAUCUCUGGUGGACCUGUUGUGGCGCCAGCCGCAUAGCAGGGUAGCUAUAUCCGGACGGGAUAACCGCUGAAGGCAUCUAAGCGGGAAACCCACCUUAAAACGAGUAUUCCCUGAGAACCGUGGAAGACGACCACGUUGAUAGGCCGGGUGUGGAAGAGCGGCAACGCUUGAAGCUUACCGGUACUAAUAGUUCGAUCGGCUUGAUCGUUCUCAUU